UGUUGCCUGACCGAAUGCCAGCGAGUAGUGGGGCCUAUCCCAAUAAGUUAAACUAUCGAGAGAGCUUGCCUAUGGUAUGUUAUGUGCGUAGCAUGUCGUGCGACUAGGCCUGGUUAGCACGCCCGAGUGUUGGGAAUGUUAUACGGGUCUGGGUUUAGGCCCUCAAUCUCACUUGCGAGGUGGUAACUGAGAGGAUUUUUCCCAAAUUAAGGCUCAUCCCAAAGGGAAAACUGAUGGCUUUGUUUGGUUUAAGGACACUAAUGGGUUUGGGUUUAGUUCGGAUGGGCGGGUUGGUUUCAUUUAAUGGACCUUAACUAGUUUGAGUAAAUUUAGUUGGCCCUU
This 342-nucleotide long non-coding RNA is filed under the name Carica papaya (papaya). RNAcentral's name for it is "long non-coding RNA (CPAP_LNC003405)". The record is from RNAcentral. Lineage: Eukaryota; Viridiplantae; Streptophyta; Magnoliopsida; Brassicales; Caricaceae.